Molecule: ribosomal RNA, 467 nt
Filed under: uncultured bacterium
Lineage: Bacteria
Description: bacterial SSU rRNA
Rfam family: Bacterial small subunit ribosomal RNA
Source: RNAcentral
GACGAACGCUGGCGGCGUGCUUAACACAUGCAAGUCGAACGAUGAAGCUGGAGCUUGCUCCGGUGGAUUAGUGGCGAACGGGUGAGUAACACGUGAGCAAUCUGCCCUUCACUCUGGGAUAACUGCGGGAAACUGUAGCUAAUACCGGAUACGAUCCCUGGGGGCAUCCCUGGGGAUGGAAAGAAUUUCGGUGAAGGAUGAGCUCGCGGCCUAUCAGCUAGUUGGUGAGGUAAUGGCUCACCAAGGCGACGACGGGUAGCCGGCCUGAGAGGGUGACCGGCCACACUGGAACUGAGACACGGUCCAGACUCCUACGGGAGGCAGCAGUGGGGAAUAUUGCACAAUGGGCGAAAGCCUGAUGCAGCAACGCCGCGUGAGGGAUGAAGGCCUUCGGGUUGUAAACCUCUUUUAGCAGGGAAGAAGCGAAAGUGACGGUACCUGCAGAAAAAGCACCGGCUAACUACGUG